AAACUGGAGAUGGCGACCGGCGCACGGGUGAGUAACACGUAUCCAACCUGCCGAUAACUCGGGGAUAGCCUUUCGAAAGAAAGAUUAAUACCCGAUGGCAUAAUAGAACCGCAUGGUUUGAUUAUUAAAGAAUUUCGGUUAUCGAUGGGGAUGCGUUCCAUUAGGCAGUUGGUGGGGUAACGGCCCACCAAGCCUUCGAUGGAUAGGGGUUCUGAGAGGAAGGUCCCCCACAUUGGAACUGAGACACGGUCCGAACUCCUACGGGAGGCAGCAUG
Molecule: ribosomal RNA, 275 nt
Filed under: uncultured bacterium
Lineage: Bacteria
Description: partial 16S ribosomal RNA
Rfam family: Bacterial small subunit ribosomal RNA
Source: RNAcentral